AGAGUUUGAUCCUGGCUCAGGUUGAACGCUGGCGGCAGGCCUAACACAUGCAAGUCGAGCGGUAGAGAGAAGCUUGCUUCUCUUGAGAGCGGCGGACGGGUGAGUAAUACCUAGGAAUCUGCCUGAUAGUGGGGGAUAACGUUCGGAAACGGACGCUAAUACCGCAUACGUCCUACGGGAGAAAGCAGGGGACCUUCGGGCCUUGCGCUAUCAGAUGAGCCUAGGUCGGAUUAGCUAGUUGGUGAGGUAAUGGCUCACCAAGGCUACGAUCCGUAACUGGUCUGAGAGGAUGAUCAGUCACACUGGAACUGAGACACGGUCCAGACUCCUACGGGAGGCAGCAGUGGGGAAUAUUGGACAAUGGGCGAAAGCCUGAUCCAGCCAUGCCGCGUGUGUGAAGAAGGUCUUCGGAUUGUAAAGCACUUUAAGUUGGGAGGAAGGGCAUUAACCUAAUACGUUAGUGUUUUGACGUUACCGACAGAAUAAGCACCGGCUAACUCUGUGCCAGCAGCCGCGGUAAUACAGAGGGUGCAAGCGUUAAUCGGAAUUACUGGGCGUAAAGCGCGCGUAGGUGGUUUGUUAAGUUGAAUGUGAAAUCCCCGGGCUCAACCUGGGAACUGCAUCCAAAACUGGCAAGCUAGAGUAUGGUAGAGGGUAGUGGAAUUUCCUGUGUAGCGGUGAAAUGCGUAGAUAUAGGAAGGAACACCAGUGGCGAAGGCGACUACCUGGACUGAUACUGACACUGAGGUGCGAAAGCGUGGGGAGCAAACAGGAUUAGAUACCCUGGUAGUCCACGCCGUAAACGAUGUCAACUAGCCGUUGGGAGUCUUGAACUCUUAGUGGCGCAGCUAACGCAUUAAGUUGACCGCCUGGGGAGUACGGCCGCAAGGUUAAAACUCAAAUGAAUUGACGGGGGCCCGCACAAGCGGUGGAGCAUGUGGUUUAAUUCGAAGCAACGCGAAGAACCUUACCAGGCCUUGACAUCCAAUGAACUUUCUAGAGAUAGAUUGGUGCCUUCGGGAACAUUGAGACAGGUGGUGCAUGGUUGUCGUCAGCUCGUGUCGUGAGAUGUUGGGUUAAGUCCCGCAACGAGCGCAACCCUUACUGUUAGUUGCUACGCAAGAGCACUCUGGCAGGACUGCCGUUGACAAAACGGAGGAAGGUGGGGACGACGUCAAAUCAUCAUGCCCCUUAUAUCUUGGGCUACACACGUACUACAAUGGCGCAGAACAAAGGGCAGCAACCCCGCGAGGGCAAGCGAAUCCCAGAAAAUGCGUCCCAGUUCGGACUGCAGGCCGCAACUCGCCUGCACGAAGUUGGAAUUGCUAGUAAUCGCGAAUCAGCAUGUCACGGUGAAUACGUUCCCGGGCUUUGCACACACCGCCCGUCA
RNAcentral lists this ribosomal RNA (1390 nucleotides) under uncultured bacterium. Its description in RNAcentral is "bacterial SSU rRNA". It matches the Rfam family "Bacterial small subunit ribosomal RNA". The record is from RNAcentral.